Molecule: long non-coding RNA, 721 nt
Filed under: Brassica napus (rape)
Lineage: Eukaryota; Viridiplantae; Streptophyta; Magnoliopsida; Brassicales; Brassicaceae
Description: long non-coding RNA (BNAP_LNC020223)
Source: RNAcentral
UCCAAAUGCUUUUUACCCGUUCGAUAAUGACCUUCGGCAAGCAUUAACAAACCGUAAAGAUACAUACCGUUUGCAUUUUUUCCAGUGGCUGAUUGGCGUAGAUGAAUGUGGCCUCUCUGUUUUCUUUGUGGGCGAAGAAUUGAAGUAAGCCCUCAAUAUAGUGUGCCUCAGGGUUGCCAUUCUCUAAGCACAAUUCCUUGAGCCUAGCGUGCUCAGUCAACAUUCGGAGUGGUUCCGCAGCAAAAUAUCGUAGGCUGAUGUUUCUGAAAUAGCUGCUGGGAUCUGCGUUCGAAUAGUCGUCGUAAUCAGAGGCAUCAACGAUGUCGUUGGUGUUGUAAUUGUUCACAGAUUUUUCUGAUUCCAUCGUUAAUGGUCUGUCUUUGUUGGCUGCUCUGUUUUUUUAUUUCUCUUAGUUUUUACUCUCACUCUCUUUGAAAUGGUGUUUGUGAAAGUGCAGGAAGGUGGAGGAGGAUAGCUUUAAUAGGAUUGUUUGAGAAUCAUGUGAAAAAACAGGAGCCUCAUGUUGGACACGUUCUGUUUUGUUGCUGUUGUUCAACAAAGAUGUCAGUUUAUUACCAAAUUGGAGAAGUUUUGCUUUUUGCAUGCAUUAUCAUAUUACCAAGGGAAGUGGUCCGGUUUCUGAUGGACCGUGGUGAAAGUUAACAAAUAGCAGAAGACAUGCAAUGGACUUCGCUCCCAUCUGGCAUCCCACCUGGACACA